Molecule: ribosomal RNA, 497 nt
Filed under: uncultured bacterium
Lineage: Bacteria
Description: partial 16S ribosomal RNA
Rfam family: Bacterial small subunit ribosomal RNA
Source: RNAcentral
GAUGAACGCUGGCGGCGUGCCUAAUACAUGCAAGUAGAACGCUGAAGGAAGGAGCUUGCUCUUUCCGGAUGAGUUGCGAACGGGUGAGUAACGCGUAGGUAACCUGCCUGGUAGCGGGGGAUAACUAUUGGAAACGAUAGCUAAUACCGCAUAACAGUAGAUGUUGCAUGAUAUCUACUUAAAAGGUGCAAUUGCACCACUACCAGAUGGACCUGCGUUGUAUUAGCUAGUUGGUGAGGUAACGGCUCACCAAGGCGACGAUACAUAGCCGACCUGAGAGGGUGGUCGGCCACACUGGGACUGAGACACGGCCCAGACUCCUACGGGAGGCAGCAGUAGGGAAUCUUCGGCAAUGGACGGAAGUCUGACCGAGCAACGCCGCGUGAGUGAAGAAGGUUGUCGGAUCGUAAAGCUCUGUUGUAAGAGAAGAACGAGUGUGAGAGUGGAAAGUUCACACUGUGACGGUAUCUUACCAGAAAGGGACGGCUAACUACGUG